AGUCGAGCGAAGUUUUUCUGGUGCUCGCACUAGAAAAACUUAGCGGCGAACGGGUGAGUAACACGUAAAGAACCUGCCUCAUAGACGGGGACAACUAUUGGAAACGAUAGCUAAUACCGGAUAACAGCAUAAAUCGCAUGAUAUAUGUUUAAAAGUUGGUUUCGGCUAACACUAUGAGAUGGCUUUGCGGUGCAUUAGCUAGUUGGUGGGGUAAAGGCCUACCAAGGCGACGAUGCAUAGCCGACCUGAGAGGGUGAUCGGCCACACUGGGACUGAGACACGGCCCAGACUCCUACGGGAGGCAGCAGUAGGGAAUCUUCCGCAAUGGGCGAAAGCCUGACGGAGCAACGCCGCGUGAGUGAAGAAGGAUUUCGGUUCGUAAAGCUCUGUUGUUAGGGAAGAAUGAUUGUAUAGUAACUAUAUACAGUAGAGACGGUACCUAACCAGAAAGCCACGGCUAACUACGUGCCAGCAGCC
RNAcentral lists this ribosomal RNA (477 nucleotides) under uncultured Bacilli bacterium. RNAcentral describes it as "bacterial SSU rRNA". It matches the Rfam family "Bacterial small subunit ribosomal RNA", at positions 60 to 516 of the family's 1533-position model. The record is from RNAcentral. Lineage: Bacteria; Bacillati; Bacillota; Bacilli.